UCAAGCGACCAAGCGUAUACGGUGGAUGCCUUGGCAGUCAGAGGCGAUGAAGGACGUGGCAGCCUGCGAAAAGUGUCGGGGAGCUGGCAACAAGCUUUGAUCCGGCAAUGUCCGAAUGGGGAAACCCACCCGCGAGGGUAUCCAGUACUGAAUCCAUAGGUGCUGGAAGCGAACCCGGGGAACUGAAAUAUCUAAGUACCCGGAGGAAAAGAAAUCAACCGAGAUUCCCUCAGUAGCGACGAGCGAACGGGGACUAGCCCAAAAGUGCACAGUGUUCUAGUCGAAGGGUCUGGAAAGGCCCGCCGCAGACGGUGAUAGCCCGGUAGGCGAAAGGGCACCGUGCAUGAAAUUGAGUAGGGCGGGGCACGAGAAACCCUGUCUGAACAUGGGGGGACCAUCCUCCAAGGCUAAAUACUCCUGACUGACCGAUAGCGAACAAGUACCGUGAGGGAAAGGCGAAAAGAACCCCGGAGAGGGGAGUGAAAUAGACCCUGAAACCGUAUACGUACAAGCAGUGGAAGCCCGCAAGGGUGACUGCGUACCUUUUGUAUAAUGGGUCAGCGACUUACUGUCAGUGGCAAGCUUAACCGUCUAGGGGAGGCGAAGGGAAACCGAGUCUGAAUAGGGCGCAUAGUCUCUGGCAGUAGACCCGAAACCGAGUGAUCUAUCCUUGGCCAGGUUGAAGGUGCGGUAACACGCACUGGAGGACCGAACCCACAUCUGUUGCAAUAGAUGGGGAUGAGCUGAGGAUAGGAGUGAAAGGCUAAACAAACUCGGAGAUAGCUGGUUCUCCUCGAAAGCUAUUUAGGUAGCGCCUCGUAUGUAUCUUCCUGGGGGUAGAGCACUGUUAUGGCUAGCGGGUCAUCGCGACUUAGCAAACCAUGGCAAACUCCGAAUACCAGGACAGACUGUACGGGAGACACACGGCGGGUGCUAACGUCCGUCGUGAAAAGGGAAACAACCCAGACCCGCAGCUAAGGUCCCCAAGUUCUAGCUAAGUGGAAAACGAUGUGGAAAGGCAUAGACAGCCAGGAGGUUGGCUUAGAAGCAGCCAUCCUUUAAAGAAAGCGUAAUAGCUCACUGGUCGAGUCGGUCUGCGCGGAAGAUUUAACGGGGCUAAGCUAGACACCGAAGCUCGGGGUGCACACUCUGUGUGCGCGGUAGAGGAGCGUUCCGUAAGCCUGUGAAGGUGGAUCGUAAGGUCUGCUGGAGGUAUCGGAAGUGCGAAUGCUGACAUGAGUAACGAUAAUGCGGGUGAAAAGCCCGCACGCCGAAAGCCCAAGGUUUCCUCGCGCAACGUUCAUCGGCGCAGGGUGAGUCGGCCCCUAAGGCGAGGCAGAAAUGCGUAGUCGAUGGGAAGCUGGUUAAUAUUCCAGCACUUGACUGUAGUGCGAUGUGGGGACGGAGAAGGUUAGGUCUACCGGGCGUUGGUUGUCCCGGGGAAAGGCGGUAGGUGGGAUGCUUAGGCAAAUCCGGGCAUCCAUACACCGAGCACCGAGACGAGCCCUUUUUGGGCGAAGUGACUGAUACCACGCUUCCAGGAAAAGCCACUAAGCUUCAGCUACAGCAAACCGUACCGUAAACCGACACUGGUAGGCAGGGUGAGAAUCCCAAGGCGCUUGAGAGAACUCGGGUGAAGGAACUAGGCAAAAUGGCACCGUAACUUCGGGAGAAGGUGCGCCUGGUGGUGUGGUCACGUGCGUGACUGGGCACCGCCAGGUCUCAGUAACCUGGCCGCUGCGACUGUUUAUCAAAAACACAGCACUCUGCAAACACGAAAGUGGACGUAUAGGGUGUGACGCCUGCCCGGUGCUGGAAGGUUAAUUGAUGGGGUCAGCCGCAAGGCGAAGCUCUUGAUCGAAGCCCCAGUAAACGGCGGCCGUAACUAUAACGGUCCUAAGGUAGCGAAAUUCCUUGUCGGGUAAGUUCCGAC
RNAcentral lists this ribosomal RNA (1933 nucleotides) under sludge metagenome. RNAcentral's name for it is "bacterial LSU rRNA". It matches the Rfam family "Bacterial large subunit ribosomal RNA", at positions 3 to 1987 of the family's 2925-position model. The record is from RNAcentral.